This 71-nucleotide non-coding RNA is filed under the name unclassified sequences. RNAcentral describes it as "Transposase-2 RNA". It matches the Rfam family "Transposase-2 RNA". The record is from Rfam by way of RNAcentral.
GAAGCGCGAACCAAGCAGGCGCAUCAAGGCGCUGUGAGACUUGGAGCUGGUCUUGGCAACGAGAUCAUGCA